Molecule: non-coding RNA, 247 nt
Filed under: unclassified sequences
Description: ARRPOF RNA
Rfam family: ARRPOF RNA
Source: Rfam by way of RNAcentral
CUAAACCCUACAAGAAUAUUUUCAAAAAAUUUCAUCAUACAAUUUGUGAUGAGCUGAUAGGCACUAAUCAGUCCAAGUCUUUUAAAGGUUGGUAGGAAUUGUUGCAACGUGAGGACAACGGAACAAAGGUCAGGUGGUUUAUUGUUUUGGGGUGUCUUUUAUACCUUUAUAAAACUGAAUGUAGGCAGUUAAGGUCGAACACGUGGGCAAUAAAGCGUGGAUUGUAUCAAACAAGUAAAAGGCAAGU